Molecule: long non-coding RNA, 1255 nt
Organism: Drosophila yakuba
Lineage: Eukaryota; Metazoa; Arthropoda; Insecta; Diptera; Drosophilidae
Exons: 2
Source: RefSeq, a predicted model, not a curated record
ACAGAAGUCGUUGGAGUGGAAAAGCGUUGACUUCCUUUGACCAAACUCAAAAGCCACCGACAUGUGUAGAAAUAUUUGUUUAAUUUGACUUGUGUGCACGCUUAUUUCACGCUUUAUGACUUACUAAACGCUUCAAUAUCUUAAAUAAAACUGCAAAACAAAAAAUUAAGAUAUCCCUAGAUAGUGUUGGUAACACAUUGUCUCUACUACAUAAAUCACUUUUGGGGUCUCUAAUCCAAGUGUGUGCCUGCCGACCCAGAACUCUUAAUCAGCUUAGCCAAAUCACCCCGCUUUUCUGCCAGUGUACGCAUGGAUGGAGCCUAGGGAGUAGAACUCACCGACCAACAGAGAGAGAGAGAUGCUCAUUUAAUUAGUUGGAAACUCUCGGCAGCUCGACUGCGUUUACUCAAGCGUGUCCAAAAAUGUGGAAGUUGCCGUUCUAAGUCUUCGCGAUCGACGCCGCUCAUGCCGCAAGCCAUGUUUGUCAGUCCGUCAGUUACGUCGGCUUGGUCAUCAUCAAUUUGAGGCUUUUACCGUUAGGCCUCAGGAUUCCUAAGUGGCCGCCAAUGGCCGCUGGCGGUACCACUUCUGUUCGAGCUGGCGGCCAGUACGAAAAUGGUGGAAAUCGAUUACUCGUAGACCGUUUGUUUUUAACCAUUUGCAAGUUGUAUAAUUUAUAAUCAAGCUUAUUCAGCCCGAACGUGGCAUAUCGCCAUCAUCACAUCAUCAGAUCUUAAACAUCUGACAGCUCAACUAAUGGCGCAACAUCAUAAUUCCAUUAGUUGAGUCAUAAAAUCAAAAACAGCACUUCUUAGCCCAUAUCCAUGUCGGUAUAUUAACAGCGAUCAAUAUGCAACGGCUAAAUGGGUGUAAAAAACUGCCAUAACUGCCAAGAGUUUGGCCUAUUUUUCGAGCCGUCGUUUGUGCAAUGAAACCCAGCCGACUGCACCUAAAACAAGUCAGCGAUACCCAGACACCUGCAUAUGCACAACUUAAGUGCGGUGAAAAACAUAUUUAAAAAAAAUAAAAGACUUAGGCAACGAACUUGUUUGGCUCUGCACAAGUGUUAAUCAGCACAGCGAGCUGCAGCUAGUUGAGAGAUGGAUGGACUUGGAUGGCUUAAAAGCGGCGGGAGCCAAGGAGAAGUGCACUGCGAGAAAAAUCGCUAUGCAAUGAAAUGUUUGCAAAAACAACUGCUUUUAUGUCUGGAAUGUAUUUUAGGAAUACCUAAUAAAUAACUUAUUCUUAAAUAAAA